Molecule: ribosomal RNA, 503 nt
Filed under: uncultured bacterium
Lineage: Bacteria
Description: partial 16S ribosomal RNA
Rfam family: Bacterial small subunit ribosomal RNA
Source: RNAcentral
AUUGAACGCUGGCGGCAGGCUUAACACAUGCAAGUCGAGCGGAGUGAUGGUGCUUGCACUAUCACUUAGCGGCGGACGGGUGAGUAAUGCUUAGGAAUCUGCCUAUUAGUGGGGGACAACAUCUCGAAAGGGAUGCUAAUACCGCAUACGUCCUACGGGAGAAAGCAGGGGAUCACUUGUGACCUUGCGCUAAUAGAUGAGCCUAAGUCGGAUUAGCGAGUUGGUAGGGUAAAGGCCUACCAAGGCGACGAUCUGUAGCGGGUCUGAGAGGAUGAUGCGCCACACGGGGACUGAGACACGGCCCAGACUCCUACGGGAGGCAGCAGUGGGGAAUAUUGGACAAUGGGGGGAACCCUGAUCCAGCCAUGCCGCGUGUGUGAAGAAGGCCUUAUGGUUGUAAAGCACUUUAAGCGAGGAGGAGGCUCUUUUGGUUAAUACCCAAGAUGAGUGGACGUUACUCGCAGAAUAAGCACCGGCUAACUCUGUGCCAGCCGCCGCCGUAA